CGGGGCUCACCCGCUGAUUUAACA
RNAcentral lists this ribosomal RNA (24 nucleotides) under Crotalaria perrottetii. RNAcentral describes it as "partial 23S ribosomal RNA". Lineage: Eukaryota; Viridiplantae; Streptophyta; Magnoliopsida; Fabales; Fabaceae. The record is from RNAcentral.